This 1400-nucleotide ribosomal RNA is filed under the name uncultured bacterium. RNAcentral's name for it is "bacterial SSU rRNA". It matches the Rfam family "Bacterial small subunit ribosomal RNA". The record is from RNAcentral.
AGAGUUUGAUCCUGGCUCAGAUUGAACGCUGGCGGCAGGCCUAACACAUGCAAGUCGAGCGGUAGCACAGAGAGCUUGCUCUCGGGUGACGAGCGGCGGACGGGUGAGUAAUGUCUGGGAAACUGCCUGAUGGAGGGGGAUAACUACUGGAAACGGUAGCUAAUACCGCAUAAUGUCGCAAGACCAAAGUGGGGGACCUUCGGGCCUCAUGCCAUCAGAUGUGCCCAGAUGGGAUUAGCUAGUAGGUGGGGUAACGGCUCACCUAGGCGACGAUCCCUAGCUGGUCUGAGAGGAUGACCAGCCACACUGGAACUGAGACACGGUCCAGACUCCUACGGGAGGCAGCAGUGGGGAAUAUUGCACAAUGGGCGCAAGCCUGAUGCAGCCAUGCCGCGUGUGUGAAGAAGGCCUUCGGGUUGUAAAGCACUUUCAGCGGGGAGGAAGGCGGUGAGGUUAAUAACCUCAUCGAUUGACGUUACCCGCAGAAGAAGCACCGGCUAACUCCGUGCCAGCAGCCGCGGUAAUACGGAGGGUGCAAGCGUUAAUCGGAAUUACUGGGCGUAAAGCGCACGCAGGCGGUCUGUCAAGUCGGAUGUGAAAUCCCCGGGCUCAACCUGGGAACUGCAUUCGAAACUGGCAGGCUAGAGUCUUGUAGAGGGGGGUAGAAUUCCAGGUGUAGCGGUGAAAUGCGUAGAGAUCUGGAGGAAUACCGGUGGCGAAGGCGGCCCCCUGGACAAAGACUGACGCUCAGGUGCGAAAGCGUGGGGAGCAAACAGGAUUAGAUACCCUGGUAGUCCACGCCGUAAACGAUGUCGAUUUGGAGGUUGUGCCCUUGAGGCGUGGCUUCCGGAGCUAACGCGUUAAAUCGACCGCCUGGGGAGUACGGCCGCAAGGUUAAAACUCAAAAUGAAUUGACGGGGGCCCGCACAAGCGGUGGAGCAUGUGGUUUAAUUCGAUGCAACGCGAAGAACCUUACCUGGUCUUGACAUCCACAGAACUUAGCAGAGAUGCUUUGGUGCCUUCGGGAACUGUGAGACAGGUGCUGCAUGGCUGUCGUCAUCUCGUGUUGUGAAAUGUUGGGUUAAGUCCCGCAACGAGCGCAACCCUUAUCCUUUGUUGCCAGCGGUCCGGCCGGGAACUCAAAGGAGACUGCCAGUGAUAAACUGGAGGAAGGUGGGGAUGACGUCAAGUCAUCAUGGCCCUUACGACCAGGGCUACACACGUGCUACAAUGGCAUAUACAAAGAGAAGCGACCUCGCGAGAGCAAGCGGACCUCAUAAAGUAUGUCGUAGUCCGGAUUGGAGUCUGCAACUCGACUCCAUGAAGUCGGAAUCGCUAGUAAUCGUAGAUCAGAAUGCUACGGUGAAUACGUUCCCGGGCCUUGCACUCACCGCCCGUCA